AGCGUCACGCCGGUAGAACGGACUACUUUGAUGAAGUAGAUUGAGGGCUUAACCCCUGACGCCU
Molecule: transfer RNA, 64 nt
Filed under: Margaritifera margaritifera (freshwater pearlshell mussel)
Lineage: Eukaryota; Metazoa; Mollusca; Bivalvia; Unionida; Margaritiferidae
Description: tRNA-Ile
Source: RNAcentral